UGUGGGAGCUGGCUUGCCUGCGAUGACGGUGUGCCAGUCACAUCAAUAGUGACUGUUGAAUCGCUAUCGCAGGCAAGCCAGCUCCCACA
RNAcentral lists this unclassified non-coding RNA (89 nucleotides) under Pseudomonas salomonii. The record is from RNAcentral. Lineage: Bacteria; Pseudomonadati; Pseudomonadota; Gammaproteobacteria; Pseudomonadales; Pseudomonadaceae.